This 477-nucleotide ribosomal RNA is filed under the name uncultured bacterium. Its description in RNAcentral is "partial 16S ribosomal RNA". It matches the Rfam family "Bacterial small subunit ribosomal RNA", at positions 28 to 507 of the family's 1533-position model. The record is from RNAcentral.
GAUUAACGCUGGCGGCGUGCAUAACACAUGCAAGUCGAACGAUGAAACUUAGUAGACUUCUUCGGAAAGACACUAAGCGGAUUAGUGGCGAAUGGGUGAGUAACGCGUGAGUAACCUGCCUUACACAAGGGGAUAGCCUUUGGAAACGAAGAAUAAUACCCUAUAAAACCAUAAAAGCACAUGCUAGAAUGGUCAAAGUGAUAGCGGUGUAAGAUGGACUUGCGUCUGAUUAGCUAGUUGGUGAGAUAAAAGCUCACCAAGGCAACGAUCAGUAGCCGGCUUGAGAGAGUGUACGGCCACAUUGGGACUGAGACACGGCCCAGACUCCUACGGGAGGCAGCAGUGGGGAAUUUUGCACAAUGGGGGAAACCCUGAUGCAGCGACGCCGCGUGAUUUAGAAGGCCUUCGGGUUGUAAAAAUCUUUUGUAUAGGAAGAAUAUGACAGUACUAUACGAAUAAGGUCCGGCUAAUUACGUG